GACGAACGCUGGCGGCGUGCUUAACACAUGCAAGUCGAACGGAAAGGCCUCUUUCGGGGGGUACUCGAGUGGCGAACGGGUGAGUAACACGUGAGUAACCUGCCCUUGACUUUGGGAUAACUUCAGGAAACUGGGGCUAAUACCGGAUAGGAGCUCCUGCUGCAUGGUGGGGGUUGGAAAGUUUCGGCGGUUGGGGAUGGACUCGCGGCUUAUCAGCUUGUUGGUGGGGUAGUGGCUUACCAAGGCUUUGACGGGUAGCCGGCCUGAGAGGGUGACCGGCCACAUUGGGACUGAGAUACGGCCCAGACUCCUACGGGAGGCAGCAGUGGGGAAUAUUGCACAAUGGGUGGAAGCCUGACGCAGCAACGCCGUGGGCGGGAUGACGGACUUCGGGUUGUAAACCGCUUUCGCUCAUGACGAAGCUUUGUGUGACGGUAGUGGGUAAAGAAGCACCGGCUAACUACGUG
This 467-nucleotide ribosomal RNA is filed under the name uncultured bacterium. RNAcentral describes it as "partial 16S ribosomal RNA". It matches the Rfam family "Bacterial small subunit ribosomal RNA", at positions 28 to 507 of the family's 1533-position model. The record is from RNAcentral.